This 234-nucleotide ribosomal RNA is filed under the name uncultured bacterium. RNAcentral describes it as "partial 16S ribosomal RNA". It matches the Rfam family "Bacterial small subunit ribosomal RNA", at positions 16 to 240 of the family's 1533-position model. The record is from RNAcentral.
GACCUGGCUCAGGAUGAACGCUAGCGACAGGCUUAACACAUGCAAGUCGAGGGGCAGCAUGAUUUGUAGCAAUACAGAUUGAUGGCGACCGGCGCACGGGUGAGUAACGCGUAUGCAACUUACCUAUCAGAGGGGGAUAGCCCGGCGAAAGUCGGAUUAAUACCCCAUAAAACAGGGGUCCCGCAUGGGAAUAUUUGUUAAAGAUUCAUCGCUGAUAGAUAGGCAUGCGUUCCA